RNAcentral lists this ribosomal RNA (374 nucleotides) under uncultured prokaryote. Its description in RNAcentral is "bacterial SSU rRNA". It matches the Rfam family "Bacterial small subunit ribosomal RNA", at positions 524 to 896 of the family's 1533-position model. The record is from RNAcentral.
UACGUAGGUGGCGAGCGUUGUCCGGAAUUACUGGGUGUAAAGGGCGUGUAGGCGGGAAUGUAAGUCAAAUGUGAAAUUCCGAGGCUCAACCUCGGAGCUGCAUCUGAAACUAUAUUUCUUGAGUGAUGGAGAGGAAAGUGGAAUUCCUAGUGUAGCGGUGAAAUGCGUAGAUAUUAGGAGGAACACCAGUGGCGAAGGCGACUUUCUGGACAUUAACUGACGCUGAGGCGCGAAAGCGUGGGGAGCAAACAGGAUUAGAUACCCUGGUAGUCCACGCCGUAAACGAUGGAUACUAGGUGUAGGAGGUAUCGACCCCUUCUGUGCCGCAGUUAACACAAUAAGUAUCCCACCUGGGGAGUACGGUCGCAAGAUUG